This 489-nucleotide ribosomal RNA is filed under the name Triticum aestivum (bread wheat). RNAcentral's name for it is "partial small subunit ribosomal RNA". The record is from RNAcentral. Lineage: Eukaryota; Viridiplantae; Streptophyta; Magnoliopsida; Poales; Poaceae.
AUGAGCUCCUCGGUCGAGAAGGGGAACGGAUCGCUGGAUCCCGGCGAGCGCCCGGCCGCCGGCAGCCAGCCCAAGGCCUGCACCGCCUGCAACACCACCAAGACGCCGCUCUGGCGCGGCGGACCCUCCGGACCCAUGUCGCUGUGCAACGCGUGUGGGAUCCGGUACAGGAAGAAGCGGAGGGAGGCGAUGGGCCUCGAGGACCCCCCCAAGAAGAGGCAGCCGGCGGCCGCCGCGCCUGCGGCGGCAGCGGCGUGCUCGGAGGCCGGCGGCGAGAGCGCGGAUCCGGAGCAGCAGCAGCCUCAGCAGCCCAAGAAGAAGACGACGACGACCAAGAGGGGGCGCGAGGUGGAGCUCCGCGUUGUCGGGUUUGGCAAGGAGGUGGUGCUGAAGCAGCGGCGGCGGAUGCGGCGCAGGCCGCGGCUGGGCGAGGAGGAGAAGGCGGCCAUCCUCCUCAUGGCCCUCUCCUCCGGCGUCAUCUACGGCUGA